Molecule: ribosomal RNA, 442 nt
Filed under: uncultured bacterium
Lineage: Bacteria
Description: partial 16S ribosomal RNA
Rfam family: Bacterial small subunit ribosomal RNA
Source: RNAcentral
CCUACGGGAGGCAGCAGUAGGGAAUCUUUCACAAUGGGCGAAAGCCUGAUGGAGCAACGCCGCGUGCAGGAUGAAGGCCUUCGGGUUGUAAACUGCUUUUAUAAGCGAGAAAUAUGAUGGUAACUUAUGAAUAAGGAUCGGCUAACUACGUGCCAGCAGCCGCGGUCAUACGUAGGAUCCGAGCAUUAUCCGGAGUGACUGGGUGUAAAGAGUUGCCUAGGUGGCAUAAUAAGUAGCUAGUGAAAUCUGGUGGCUCAACCAUUCAGACUAUUAGCUAAACUGUUAAGCUCGAGACCGUUAGGGGUAACUGGAAUUUCUAGUGUAGGAGUGAAAUCCGUAGAUAUUAGAAGGAACACCAAUAGCGUAGGCAGGUUGCUGGGACGGUUCUGACACUAAGGCACGAAAGCGUAGGGAGCAAACGGGAUUAGAUACCCCUGUAGUC